AUGGCAGCAGCCGCACCAGGCGGACCCCGCCGCGCUCGCCGGGCUGUUGCAGCAGCCGCUACAGCUGCCAUCCACCGCCUCGUCCUAGCUGCCGUGGCAGCCGUCGCACCAGGCGGCCUCCGCCGCGCUCGCCAGGCUGCAGCAACAGCCGCUGCAGCUGCCAUCCACCGCCACCGCCGCCCCGUCCUGGCUGCCGUGACAGCCGCCGCACCAGGUGGCCUCCGCCGCGCUCACCGGGCCGCAACAGCAGCUGUCAUCCACCGCCACCAUCGCCCCGCCCUGGCUGCAGUGGCAGCCACCGCUCCUGGCGACCUCCGCCGCGCCCGGCGCUCCGCCGCUGCAACUGCAGCAGCCAUCGCCGGUUAG
This 366-nucleotide ribosomal RNA is filed under the name Triticum aestivum (bread wheat). Its description in RNAcentral is "partial small subunit ribosomal RNA". Lineage: Eukaryota; Viridiplantae; Streptophyta; Magnoliopsida; Poales; Poaceae. The record is from RNAcentral.